Molecule: ribosomal RNA, 435 nt
Filed under: Channa argus (northern snakehead)
Lineage: Eukaryota; Metazoa; Chordata; Actinopteri; Anabantiformes; Channidae
Description: partial large subunit ribosomal RNA
Rfam family: Bacterial large subunit ribosomal RNA
Source: RNAcentral
CGCCUCUUGUAAUUUAAAAAUAAGAGGUCCCGCCUGCCCAGUGACACUAAGUUCAACGGCCGCGGUAUUUUGACCGUGCAAAGGUAGCGCAAUCACUUGUCUUUUAAAUGAAGACCCGUAUGAAUGGCAUAACGAGGGCUUAACUGUCUCCUUUUUCAAGUCAAUGAAAUUGAUCUCCCCGUGCAGAAGCGAGGAUAACAACAUAAGACGAGAAGACCCUAUGGAGCUUUAGACACCAGAGUAGCCCUUGUCAAACACCCCCAGUAAAAGGGCAAAACCAAAAGGACCCUACUCCCCUGUCUUUGGUUGGGGCGACCGCGGGGAAUACAAAACCCCCAUGUGGAAUGGGAGAACCCCUCCUGAAACCAAGAGCCACGGCUCUAAGCAGUAGAACAUCUAACCAAAAGAUCCGGCAUGGCCGAUCAACGCUCGAUG